AGAAUCAGUUGGGACUUGCUUGGGGCAAUUUUGGACCUGAUAAAUGGGCCACUAAAUGACUUAACCUUUUGUAUAUGUAUAUAGUUAACCCAACAAGUCACAUAUAUCCUUCCAUUGCACACACACAAUUGCCUUAAUUGAGCAUCACAUCAGGCAUUUCUUUUAAUGAUGUAUAUGAUGCAUGUUUUAACUUUUAAUUUGAUCAAGAUUAGUGCAUGCUUAGAUAAUAAAAUGAGUGAAUGAUGAUUUACAAGGGGCGUAUAUCCAAUCAUAAUCCAGACUCUGAACCUGAAGGGAUCCAAUUGGUUGUAUAGGUUGCAAAAGUGGCCACGGUUAUGAAGAUCACUUGGGUAUAAGAGUCAAAGAUACUUCAUGUCUAUCAUGCGAAUUGCAUAAGGUUGCAUUUGGGCCCAUACCAUAGUGAGUAAUGAUCGGACAGAAGUAGGUUGGUGCUUUGGCGGGGCCCAGAUGGUGAUAGGUGAUUGGUGCAAUUAGCAAAUUUAGGAAUGAAACUUCUCG
Molecule: long non-coding RNA, 519 nt
Organism: Magnolia sinica
Lineage: Eukaryota; Viridiplantae; Streptophyta; Magnoliopsida; Magnoliales; Magnoliaceae
Exons: 3
Source: RefSeq, a predicted model, not a curated record